This 1219-nucleotide ribosomal RNA is filed under the name uncultured bacterium. RNAcentral describes it as "partial 16S rRNA". It matches the Rfam family "Bacterial small subunit ribosomal RNA", at positions 246 to 1482 of the family's 1533-position model. The record is from RNAcentral.
UAGGUGGGAGUAUCGACUCCACGGGCCAAUGUGUAAGCUACAGGAGGAACCUCAGUGGGAUAGAGCGCGGCCCCAGUUCUCUCCGGAGCGCAGCAGUGGAGGAAUAUGGAACCAUUGGAUGGAAUUUUGAUCCCAGCCAUGCCGGCGUGCAAGGAAGGCGCCCCUAUGGCUGUAACUGCUUUUAAUAUGGGAGGCAAUAAGGUCUACGCUAGGCCCGAUGGGGAGUACCAUAGGAAUAAGCAUCGGCUAACUCCGUGCCAGCAGCCGCGGUAAUACGGAGGAUGCGAGCGUUAUCCGGAUUUAUUGGGUUUAAAGGGUGCGUAGGCGGCCUUAUAAGUCAGCGGUGAAAUUUUGCAGCUUAACUGUAACAGUGCCGUUAAUACUGUAGGGCUAGGAUUUAGUUGCUGUGGGUGGAAUGUGUGGUGUAGCGGUGAAAUGCUUAGAUAUCACACAGAAUAUCGAUUGCGAAGGCAGCUCACGAAGCCAAGAUUGACACUGAGGCACGAAAGUGUGGGGAUCAAACAGGAUUAGAUACCCUGGUAGUCCACACUGUAAACGAUGAUAACUCGCUGCCGGCGAUACACAGUCGGUGGCCAAGCGAAAGCGAUAAGUUAUCCACCUGGGGAGUACGACCGCAAGGUUGAAACUCAAAGGAAUUGACGGGGGCCCGCACAAGCGGAGGAACAUGUGGUUUAAUUCGAUGAUACGCGAGGAACCUUACCCGGGCUCGAACGGUGCAUGAAUAUACAAGAGAUUGUAUAGUCCUUUGGGACAUGUAUCGAGGUGCUGCAUGGUUGUCGUCAGCUCGUGCCGUGAGGUGUCGGCUUAAGUGCCAUAACGAGCGCAACCCUUGUCAUUAGUUACCAUCAGGUCAAGCUGGGGACUCUAAUGAGACUGCCACCGUAAGGUGUGAGGAAGGGGGGGAUGACGUCAAAUCAGCACGGCCCUUAUGUCCGGGGCGACACACGUGUUACAAUGGGGGGUACAGAGGGCAGCCAUCCGGCGACGGAGCGCUAAUCUCAAAAACCCUUCUCAGUUCGGAUUGGAGUCUGCAACUCGACUCCAUGAAGUUGGAUUCGCUAGUAAUCGCGCAUCAGCCAUGGCGCGGUGAAUACGUUCCCGGGCCUUGUACACACCGCCCGUCAAGCCAUGGAAGCUUGGGGUGCCUGAAGUUCGUGACCGCAAGGAGCGACCUAGGGCAAAACAAGUAACUGGGGCU